CAGUAACGGCGAGUGAAGCGGCAACAGCUCAAAUUUGAAAUCUGGCUCCUUCGGGGUCCGAAUUGUAAUUUGUAGAGAGUGCUUCGGGCGAGACCUCGGUCUAAGUCCAUUGGAACAUGGUGUCAUAGAGGGUGAGAAUCCCGUAUGCGACCGUGGCUCGAGCCCAUGUGAAGCCUCUUCGACGAGUCGAGUUGUUUGGGAAUGCAGCUCAAAAUGGGUGGUAAAUUUCAUCUAAAGCUAAAUACUGGCUGGAGACCGAUAGCGCACAAGUAGAGUGAUCGAAAGAUGAAAAGCACUUUGGAAAGAGAGUCAAACAGUACGUGAAAUUGUUGAAAGGGAAGCGCUUGCAACCAGACCUGCCCGUAGGCGAUCAGCCGCUGUUCUCAGCGGUGUACUCGCUCUGCGAUCAGGCCAGCAUCGGUUUCGGCGGUCGGAUAAAGACCUUGGGAAUGUAGCUUCCCUUCGGGGAAGUCUUAUAGCCCUCGGUGUAAUGCGGCCAGCCGGGAUCGAGGACCGCGCUUCGGCUAGGAUGCUGGCGUAAUGGUUGUAAGCGACCCGUCUUGAAACACGGACCAAGGAGUCUAACAUCUAUGCGAGUGUUUGGGUGUCAAACCCAUACGCGGAAUGAAAGUGAACGGAGGUGAGAACCCUUAAGGGCGCAUCAUCGACCGAUCCAGAUGUCUUCGGAUGGAUUUGAGUAUGAGCAUAGCUGUUGGGACCCGAAAGAUGGUGAACUAUGCCUGAAUAGGGUGAAGCCAGAGGAAACUCUGGUGGAGGCUCGCAGCGGUUCUGACGUGCAAAUCGAUCGUCAAAUUUGGGUAUAGGGGCGAAAGACUAAUC
RNAcentral lists this ribosomal RNA (840 nucleotides) under Xanthoparmelia chlorochroa. RNAcentral's name for it is "eukaryotic LSU rRNA". It matches the Rfam family "Eukaryotic large subunit ribosomal RNA", at positions 81 to 936 of the family's 3401-position model. The record is from RNAcentral. Lineage: Eukaryota; Fungi; Ascomycota; Lecanoromycetes; Lecanorales; Parmeliaceae.